This 471-nucleotide ribosomal RNA is filed under the name marine sediment bacterium ISA-2742. RNAcentral describes it as "bacterial SSU rRNA". It matches the Rfam family "Bacterial small subunit ribosomal RNA", at positions 20 to 484 of the family's 1533-position model. The record is from RNAcentral.
UGGCUCAGAUUGAACGCUGGCGGCAGGCCUAACACAUGCAAGUCGAGCGGUAACAUUUCUAGCUUGCUAGAAGAUGACGAGCGGCGGACGGGUGAGUAAUGCUUGGGAACAUGCCUUUAGGUGGGGGACAACAGUUGGAAACGACUGCUAAUACCGCAUAAUGUCUACGGACCAAAGUGGGGGACCUUCGGGCCUCACGCCUAAAGAUUGGCCCAAGUGGGAUUAGCUAGUUGGUGAGGUAAUGGCUCACCAAGGCGACGAUCCCUAGCUGGUUUGAGAGGAUGAUCAGCCACACUGGGACUGAGACACGGCCCAGACUCCUACGGGAGGCAGCAGUGGGGAAUAUUGCACAAUGGGCGCAAGCCUGAUGCAGCCAUGCCGCGUGUGUGAAGAAGGCCUUCGGGUUGUAAAGCACUUUCAGUAAGGAGGAAAGGUUGGAUGUUAAUAGCAUCAGCUGUGACGUUACUACAG